UGCAAACCAAUUUGAUGUAGAGUGCGGCAUAUGGUCUGAGCACUAACAGGCUGACCCCCUCACCCCCACCUCUCCAAUCUUUGCAGCAAUGCUGACAGCACUCCUGUAACGAGUCACAUGACAUUUUGGAGGGAAAAUGACAAGCAGUACUCAAUUUGGACAUUUAGGAAUGUAGUUUCUAAGGGGUGUACUCACUUUUGUUGCCAGGGGUUUAGAUAUUAAUGGCUAUAUUUUGAGGGGAAAAUGAAUGAACUCUAUUGUAUAAGCUGCACACAGACUACUUUUCAUUGUGUCAUUUUGUCAGUGUUGUCCCAUGAAAAGAUAUACUUAAAUAUCUGUAGAAAUGCGAGCGGUGUACUCACUUUUGUGAUACUGGUGAUACUGAAUCUGCAAAGUUAAAACUUGAAAACAUCGCUCCAUGUGAUGUUUAUUCCUUUCAAAUCAUUGCGACAGUGUGUUUUUAUUUUUCUAACAAGUGGUAAUUCUAAUUUAAUUCACUGAAAUGUAUGUGCAACUUUACAGCUCCUUCUCUUUUGGCUGUGGAGAAGGUAACACAAACACUUGCCAAAAUAAGAAAUCCUACACAAAGCUGUGAUCAAACUGUUGGCUGUCAUCCCAGUCUUCUAUCUCGCUGUCAGCACAGAGGAACUAGACCCAGCUCAAGGCAGUCACACUGACCUGGCUUUUUGUUGACAUCGGCAGUGAACAACCAAUCGGCCGCUUUCUUGGCAUCUGGACCGGAGCUUGUCCGUCCUUGGUGAACCAGCCUGGUCUCUCCCAGCCGUGUCUCUCCUGGAACACGCAGCCUCGCUCUGUCAGCACCUAAAAACAAACGAAGGAAGCCAACAGUCACUAUUGAAGAAAACCAUGCAGAUCUAAAGGUUCGG
This is a long non-coding RNA of Corythoichthys intestinalis (scribbled pipefish), 887 nucleotides long. RefSeq lists it as uncharacterized. The record is from RefSeq and is a predicted model, not a curated record. The transcript has 3 exons. Lineage: Eukaryota; Metazoa; Chordata; Actinopteri; Syngnathiformes; Syngnathidae.